ACCUCUUAGAUCUCUCUCUCUGCGGAAGCCAGCCACCGCUCUCCAAGGACUCUCGAGCAGCUCCAUCUACAGAUUCACAUGGAGAAGAAUUAAGGGUUCCUGCCAAUCACCAGCACCACUUUGCCAGCCUUGUAAGUGGGCCACCUUGGAAUUGGAGCCUCCAGUUCCUACUGACAUCUGACUGCAACAUCAUGAGAGACCCUGAGUUUGAACCACCCAGCUGAGCUGCUUCUGAGCUAACCCACUGAAACCGUGAAAGUACCUGAAUGAAACAACACCCAGUAGCCACUAGCACACCUAGCUCCCAGAUCUGUUUUUGAUGCCAUUCUUCAGUAAAAGGAAGCAAGGCUGCUUGGAGAAAUUGCUAUCAAGGACUGGGGUAGAAAAUAUACAAGAUGAAAUUGGAGCAUCUUGUAGUGCUUGAAAACAGUUGGCAUCUGUGUGAAGAUGUGAAUGGAGGAGGCAGAGUAGGCAGUGAGUGCCGCAGCCACAGCUUGUGUUCUCUGCAGCCCUGGCACAGAAGAUAGGAACACUCAUGGGGGAUGCGGCCACUGUGAUGUCUUCCCACACAAGAAGUGCCAAGUGCUUUUCUCAUGCUUUUCUGGAUUGUCCCAUGGUGGACGAGUCAGCAGGAGUGAGAUGGAGCAGCACAGUAGAGGGGCCAGGAUAUCGUUGUACAUAUUCUCAGCUAAGUGAGCACCAAUAGAGGAGAGGGAGAGUCUCAUGGAAGUUCCUUCUAAGCCUUUGGCUCUUUUUACCUUCAACAAGGUUCCUUAGAUCCUGGGAUGAGGAGGUGGACCAGCAGAAGGUGGGCUUGUGAAGGCAGCCCGGGGUCCAAAUCCUCCUGGCUCUUCAGCUUAGCGGGUUAGUUAACAUUCAGAAGCCUUCAUCUCCCAUCUGCAAAAUGGGCAUGUCCAACUCAGAAGCUGCCUUGAAGAAAGGGUCUACCCAGCAUGGUGCGUGGAGCCUAAGCAGUCAGUACUUCAGGACUUCACCCGGCCCCUUUCCAAUAACUGCUGCUGUCGCCCUCACAGGAUGUCACCUUCAGCGUCUGAAAGCUGGGUUUGAUGCGUCUGGAAAGGCGUCCCUGACAGGCGUCGUUGCCAGGAGCCCCUAGUGCCACCAGCAGCCAGCAGGGGAGGGCGUCCUCUGCCCGCUCACUUCUGACCCUUCUCUCGUUGCACCCGGAACAUGGUGCAGCUGGGAGCAGCCUGGGCUGCGCGGAAGGCUCAGAUUUGGGGACGGCCCUUGCCAGUGACUGUGAGCUGGGGUGUCUUGGAAACUCCCAGUCUCAGCUUCUCCAUUUAUAAGAUGAGAAUGAUCAUACCAGACUCAGGCAAGGUUGUUUGUGCAUUAGUGAAAUCAGACGUAUUAAAUAAAGUACCACAUUGAUCGUGGAGUUGUUGAAUAACCAAGAA
RNAcentral lists this long non-coding RNA (1418 nucleotides) under Homo sapiens (human). Its description in RNAcentral is "long intergenic non-protein coding RNA 658". Lineage: Eukaryota; Metazoa; Chordata; Mammalia; Primates; Hominidae. The record is from RNAcentral.